RNAcentral lists this ribosomal RNA (448 nucleotides) under uncultured bacterium. RNAcentral describes it as "SSU rRNA". It matches the Rfam family "Bacterial small subunit ribosomal RNA", at positions 26 to 518 of the family's 1533-position model. The record is from RNAcentral.
AGAGCGAACGCUGGCGGCAGGCUUAACACAUGCAAGUCGAACGCGUGUAGCAAUACACGAGUGGCGCACGGGUGAGUAACGCGUGGGCAUCUGCCUCAUGGUUCGGAAUAACCCCGGGAAACUGGGGCUAAUACCGGAUGGUACCUUCGGGUUAAAGAUUUAUCGCCAUGAGAUGAGCCCGCGUCCGAUUAGCUAGUUGGUGAGGUAACGGCUCACCAAGGCGACGAUCGGUAGCUGGUCUGAGAGGACGAUCAGCCACACUGGGACUGAGACACGGCCCAGACUCCUACGGGAGGCAGCAGUGGGGAAUAUUGGACAAUGGGGGCAACCCUGAUCCAGCCAUGCCGCGUGAGUGAUGAAGGCCUUCGGGUUGUAAAGCUCUUUUAGCGGGGACGAUGAUGACGGUACCCGCAGAAUAAGCCCCGGCUAACUUCGCGCCAGCAGCCGC